Molecule: long non-coding RNA, 3397 nt
Organism: Marmota monax (woodchuck)
Lineage: Eukaryota; Metazoa; Chordata; Mammalia; Rodentia; Sciuridae
Exons: 3
Source: RefSeq, a predicted model, not a curated record
GCUGUUGGUCAUAUAUGCCCUAUCUAACAUGGCGCCCAGGCAGCUUCUCUUCCUGUGUUUCCGUUUCUCGGCGCCAAUUUUCAAUCCCGCCGGCGGAAAACCCAGCCCAGUAAGAACUAAUUUCGUAGGCUUUGGAACUGACAUCUGGAAGAACUUACCAAUAAACAAGCGCCCGUUUACCUAAGUCCUGCCUCCUAUCCUUAGAGCUAUAUAAGCACUUAGCCUUUUGAAAUAAAGUGGAACUUCUCCGGUGACUUGUCUCCCGAAACCUGGGAGAAGGGUGAGCUCAUUUUAACAGAGCCCCAUUUCCGGCUCCACGGGACAUCUUGAUCUCGUCCACCUUUUCAGGCGCUGGCUCUUUACACCCACCACUGAUCGGGCUUGGCUUCUGCUUAGGAACUACCAGCCUCUGAUGACCGAUGAACCCCGAAUAUCUUCAAGAGAACAGCUCACUCAGUGCUGAAGCUUACUACCAGGCACAAUGAAAAACGACGGACAUCGGACAGCGGGAGACAAAAAUCCAGGAUGGCAGAGGAUCUCUUAACCUGUCAACCGGGAUUUUUGAGCCUUCAUGUCCUUCUAAGCCUCCUCAUGGCCCUUGGCCUCUUCUCUGUCAGUCCCCCAGCAUGGAACUCCCACCGAAAACUGACCUUUGUUUUAAUUCUUAUCUUCAUCUUGUUCUUGUUUGCUCUGAUCUUCUUCAGGUGCUGGUGACGCCCCUUAUGACAGGGACACUAGGAAAUAUUGGAAGCGCUAUUUUGACAUGACAUUGGCGCUCCCGAUGCUUCCUGGAGCCCUUGUUACGAGACCUAAUGGCUGGUGACCAACCCCAACAACCUCCUCCAUCCAGGGAUAACGCCCCACGCCACCCCUACUCAGCAGGAAGUAGCCAGAGUCGAAUGACGUCCCUGUUCCAAAAACAACACAAAAGAGGGGGAAAUGUUGGUCAUAUAUGCUCUAUCUAACAUGGCACCCAGGUAGCUUCUCUUCCUGUGUCUUCGUUUCCACCAGCGCCAAUUUUCAAUUCCACUGGCAGAAAACCCAGCCCAAUAAGAACUAAUUUCGUAGGCUCCAGAACUGAUAUCUGGAAGAACUUACCAAUAAACAAGCACCCUGUCGUUUACCUAAGUCCUGCCUCCUAUCCUUAGAUCUAUAUAAGCACAUAGCCUUUUGAAAUAAAGUGGAACUUCUCCCGUGAUUUGUCUCGCAUCGGUUCUUCUUUCAGGGGCAACGGUCGAUCCCUUAGUGACCUAGGUAAGAGUGACAUCCAUAGAGGACCCGGGGCGUAGAGAACAGCCCCUACCAGGAGGCUGUUAUAGGGGACCUGGGGCAGAGCUGCUUUCUAAGCCUCUGGGGGAAAAGACUAAGUAUUGGGUGUCCUCAGAGCCCCAGGCUGGAGCCUCAUGCCCAGUAAAAUACUCCUGCUGGAAUUGAAGCCAGACCAACAUCCCUGCUCCAAGUCACAUGCUUCCUUAUUUGCAGGUCAGAGGAAAAAGUGUCAGGGCCAGGAGAGGUGUUUCUGUGGCCAUCCUUGGAUGGAGAACAGUUUUAGGGAGAAUUGGAGAAUAGAGGGCAAGUGGGGAAGCACCAUAGUUCUGCCUUGGGACUACAGUUUUCCACGUGAAUGUUUGUCUGUUCCCUUUGUAACCACUGGAAAGCUGGGUCCUGGUUCCCAGUGUCAAUUGAAUAAUGAGGAUAUAGUUUUGAGAAAAAGGAAAAAAGAUUUAUUGCUUUGCUAGCAAAGGAGAAACACAGGGAUCUCCUGUCCCUGAGGCUGUGCUUCUGCCUAUCAGGGAGAACUGGGCUUUAAAAGAAGCUAUUCAAAGACCACACAAAAUAGGGCUGAGGAUGUGGCUCAGUGUUCAAGUGCCCCUGAGUUCAAUCCUUGUCCUCACCCCCUCCCCCCCAAAAAGGCUACAUUCCAGGGGUGUCCUGACAGGGGAUCCCAGGUGCAACCUGAAGGUGUGUUGAAAUUCACUUCUUAGAUCCUCUGGUAGAUAUCUCCUUCCUGUGGUGAGUGUGUUCAAGGACAAUUAACUAGGGGAAGAAAAGAUAACUGUCUCCCUCAUGUUAGGGAGGGGAAGAGGGGAGAAGAGAGAAAAGCACAUGUCCCUUUAAAAAUAAGACUCAGAGCAAGGAGGGCUAUGUACAAAAGAUAAAGUAGACCACUGUUACACCUUCAGCUUUGUUUUCAGAAAUGUUUAACAUUGGCUUCACUAAUGCUUUCAACAAAUAUUAAUAAGUAUCUUCCAGGUGCCAGGUACUGACCAGGAACAGAACAAGCAAAACAUCCUGUCUUCAUGCAGUGCAAAUUCUAGCAGGUGACUGGAACAGUAACCAUCCUGCUCAUGAGGAAGCCAGAAGAGUCUACAGAAGAGAAAAUGGAAGAGAUGGACAAAGAGCUACAGAGGUGAGUGAGGUUAAGAAAAGAGCCUCUGGGGAUUCUGCCGAGUUUUACAGUUCCUGUUUGCACUCCUGGCUCACCUUUGCCCUGGAGAUAACUCCUUAAUAAUAACAUAGACUUACUUAUUAUUUACUUACACUGGUACCUUUUGAAACUUGGAAUUAAAAAGACCACAUCUGUGGUGCUCGGAUCUAACAGAUGAAAAAUGUCACCAGAAGGUUUUAUAUAAUUAUAAUGCACCAAUAAAAAAUAUGGGAAAAAAAUGUCACCAGUAGUGUAGUCAUUAAAACAAAUGUUUAUAUGAAUGCAGGAAGUCAGAAUGAAAUGAGAGGCAUUUCCAGAGGCCACUAAGAGCAGCAAUAAAUAAACAAAUGGCCCAUAAAAAGAAUGAAGUCCCUAUAAAAAGCAGAGCAGAGAACUGUAAAAAGCUUAUCAGUCUAGGACCAUUUAGACCAUGAGAGGCCAGCAGAGACAGACCCAAGUGUUCAUAAGGCUUCAUUAGGUUGUAGAGCUUGGUAAGACUGAUGUGUGUUACAAUGGCUUUUAGCCAUAAAAGCCCAGUGAGAUCAUGUUCUUUGUUCCUGAAUGUCUUCACCAAAAAUUGUUUACAUGUUUAGGCAUUUAAAAAGGUAAGAUUCAUUUAUAUGGCAUACAGAUAUUGUGAAAUUUAUCAGUUUAUAACAUAAUGACAGAUGCAUGUGCAAAUAUAUGUGUACUUGUACAUCCAGAAAUAGAACAUCUCAAUAAAGAAUAAGGAGAUAGUAAAAGUGAGAAAUAUUUAAAAAUUUUAAUGUAUAUAUGAAUUCAAAUGCACUAAUUAAAAUGAUAAUAAUAGAAGGUAGAUUAGUAGAGAAGAAUAGGGAGGGUGGAGGGGAGGGAAAGAGAAGGUGCUGGGGAAGGACACUGAUCACACUACAUGCAUUUACAGAUAUAGCAUCGUGCAUUCUAUUAUGUAUCAUUACAAUGCAUCAAUAAAUUUAUUUUCUGUUUUUC